UACGAAGGGGGCGAGCGUUGUUCGGAAUUACUGGGCGUAAAGGGCGCGUAGGCGGCCGAUCAAGUCAGAUGUGAAAGUCCUGGGCUUAACCUGGGGACUGCAUUUGAUACUGAUUGGCUUGAAUUCGGGAGAGGAUAGCGGAAUUCCCAGUGUAGAGGUGAAAUUCGUAGAUAUUGGGAAGAACACCAGUGGCGAAAGCGGCUCACUGGCUCGUAACUGACGCUCAGGCGCGACAGCGUGGGGAUCAAACAGG
This 253-nucleotide ribosomal RNA is filed under the name uncultured bacterium. RNAcentral describes it as "partial 16S ribosomal RNA". It matches the Rfam family "Bacterial small subunit ribosomal RNA", at positions 524 to 776 of the family's 1533-position model. The record is from RNAcentral.